Molecule: long non-coding RNA, 964 nt
Filed under: Penaeus monodon (black tiger shrimp)
Lineage: Eukaryota; Metazoa; Arthropoda; Malacostraca; Decapoda; Penaeidae
Description: uncharacterized LOC119584379, transcript variant X1
Source: RNAcentral
GGCGGGGCGAAGGAUGAGUGUGAAGAAUGAUAGUCAUUUGGACUUCUUUGUGCAAUCACUUUGAUGAAUACCAAACUUAAGUGUAACGCCAGUCUCCAAGUAUGACUUCAGUCUACAAGGGUGAUAUCAGAGGGCACAGAGUGUGACUUCAGUCUGCAAACACAAGGCAGGCCUUCAGGAGAGACCCCAGUUGCAUGUAGGAGAAUUCCAGAAGCCAUCUAGCAAUACCACACUCCAGCAUGAGACACAACUCAAAGGGCGUCCACCAGCAGGAGAGAACGCUGGGCUUUGGGCAUCACGUGGCCUCUUGAGGGUCAUUAAGCCUGAGACGGGAGUUCAUCCUGAGACAUCCGUUAGUGCACCAUUUUAAGCCUAGGACAUCCAUAUGGGAGUCAGUUUCAGCCUGAGACAUACCUUCGGACACCUGAUCAGCUUGAAAUAUGAAACGUCCUGCCUCAUUUUAGGCUGAGCCCACAUUUGCUCGGAAACUCAUUUCAGUCUCUCAGAAGUCUGGGCACUUCAGUCACGCUGGCUUCUUGCCCAUCACUCCAAGGUCACCCUCAAAGAAGCAGGUCACUCCAGCGUAAAACAUGGAGACUGCAGUGUCACAUUGGACUUCAGUCUGAGAUGUCACAUGAAAGCCUGAGAUGUCACACGAAGUAGGAAUGGGUCGUAGUUACACUUGAACGGGUCUUGUCAGCCUGUCACAUUGGUUUCAUUUUCAAAUAAUUAAUUGUGUCCUUAAUCUUCAGUUGUAGGCCUAUACAAAAUUAUCUAUCCGUGUGUGUGUAUCGACAUGUUUAUUGUAUUAUUAUCCAGUUAUAUUAUGCAAUUGCAACACUGUAGUUAACUGUUGCCUUUGUUUUUCAAUAUGUGCUUGUUUCAUAAAGAUCUGCCAUUUAUUAUCUCUCAAAUUCCUUUGCUAUUUUGCAUUCCAUUAUUUAUUGAGUGAAGGCAAUGCGUU